GAACAAAUUACCAAGUUUCCACGCCGAAUUAGAAUCUGGAAAUUCGUUGACGAAAUUUCGCCGGUGGAUUCUCAUAAAUAGGCAGCAUACGAGCGUCCAGCAACGUUGAUAGCCAUUAAUUUCUCUCAGCGCGGCAUUACAAAUGUAAAAGGCGCCAUUUAACUCAUGCGAGUUAUCGUACUGUGUCCAGCUUCCGGUAAAACGAUUUUCCGACUGUGAAGCCGCAAUGAAACGGAUUAAGGACGGACGUGGAGCAUGCAUGCGACGUCGCACAAAAACCCGCACGUUUUGGGAAACGCAAAGAUCUACGACGGAGGAGCCUUCUCAUUGUGAAGCAGACCGCAUUGUGAAAUCGGCUGCAUUUCCAGCGACGUUUAGCCACCGCAGCUACGCGCACUAUGUUAGAUCAAUGACGCGAGAAUAAUUUCGCUGCACCGCCCACAAACACGGGAAUCUUUUACCUGAAUUCGAUUUAGAACGCACACACGAGCUGCGAUGAAAUUCACGAGCACAAUGUGGGAGUCAUUGACGAGUUGCGAACACGGGAACUUGUCAUCGCCAGAAAGCAAUACUCGUAUCGGAAGGGACUUUCGAAUUGAGGAGUUGAAAUGGAAAACGAUACAAAUGUCAAAAAAAUGAAAAAACGAUAUUUUUAGUGAGAAAGAGAAUAUAAAUUCUAUGUGGAAUAUAACGAAAAACGGUUAAAACUGCCAGAAUAAUAUUGACUAAAUUGUAGUUGGAAAAGAUUCAAUCUAAUCAAUCGGAUACAUUUUUUACGAUUUAUUCUCGCUCUAAAUCUGCAAAUGUGGUAUAAUCUCAAACUUUAUAAUAUUCAAGCGAUAAAUGAUACAAAAUACUGAAAUUGACAAAAAUGAGAUAUUUGUUUCUAAUAGAAAUCUUUAUUCCCGACACUUAG
This 916-nucleotide unclassified non-coding RNA is filed under the name Bombus terrestris (buff-tailed bumblebee). RNAcentral's name for it is "misc RNA ENSBTSG00005030724.1". Lineage: Eukaryota; Metazoa; Arthropoda; Insecta; Hymenoptera; Apidae. The record is from RNAcentral.